UACAGAGGUCUCAACCGUUGUUCGGAUUCAUUGGGCGCAAAGGGUGCGUAGGCGGUCGUGUAAGUCGGAUGUGAAAUCCCGGGGCUCAACCCCGGAACUGCAUUCGAUACUGCAUGGCUAGGGUACUGGAGAGGAAACUGGAAUUUACGGUGUAGCAGUGAAAUGCGUAGAUAUCGUAAGGAAGACCAGUGGCGAAGGCGAGUUUCUGGACAGUUACCGACGCUGAGGCACGAAGGCCAGGGGAGCAAACGGG
This 253-nucleotide ribosomal RNA is filed under the name uncultured bacterium. Its description in RNAcentral is "partial 16S ribosomal RNA". It matches the Rfam family "Bacterial small subunit ribosomal RNA", at positions 524 to 776 of the family's 1533-position model. The record is from RNAcentral.